GCCAAGAACUGAUUUUGCUGUGCAUUUCUUUCUGCAAAAUUAAGGUAAGGGUGAGACUAUCAUUCAGUGAUCUUAAGUCUAUAAUUCUGAAAUUGGAUUUAUCAUUUGGGGUUAGGGUUGUGUACUCAUAUGGGUAAUUAAUGGUUGUUGAUUUUCGUUGUUUUUCUAAAUUCUUUUGAUGACUUUUUCGCUGAUUUCGUGUACUUUUAUGUUACUAUAGUUAUAUGUUUGAUUUUCGUUAACGGAACUGUGAUGUUUAUAUGUGAAUUUUUAUACAUCAUGCUCGUACGUUAAUAUAGUUGUUUUGAUAGAAUUAUAUACGAUCGGUAAAAGCUUUAAAUGUUAUCGUUUCAUGUUUCUGAUCUUGAUAUAUGAGAUGCAUGAUAUUUGUGAAAGCAUGUUUCUGUUUUCUAUUUUUUUUUCUUUUAUAUGUCAAUCUGCCAAAAUCGGUUUACACAUUUAAUAUUGAUUUAUGAAAUAUGUUAUGAGAGAGUUCUAAAGAUCCUUAAAACAUGUUAAUUAUUCUCGCUUUCGGUGACAUUACUUUGUGCAUUAUGGUUUCAUAUGAUUUUAUUAUAUUUAGAAUAGUGAUAAAGACCUUUAAAACAUAUCACUGGGUUUACUUUGAAAAUGUUUCUAACGGUGAUAUCAUAACUUGGAUUUAGAAAAUGGAUGCUAUUAAUCAUAUGUUAAUUGACAAGCUUUUAGAAUUCAAUGAAUAACAAAUGAGAUUUUCUCCAUUUUAAACUUUGAUUUCAAAAUUCUUCCGUUUACUUUAGAUGAUGAAUUAUUUGAUGAUGUGUAUAAAUGUGUUAUAUAAAUAUGUACUAUUUGAAGAUGUAUGAUUUAAAGAUGUGUUAUAUAAAUAUGUGUUAUUUGAAGAUGUGUGAUUUAAAGACGUGUUAUUUAAAGAUGUGCUAGUUAAAGAUGUGUGAUUCAUAGAUAUGUUAUUUUGUGUAUUUGUGACUAGUCCUAAAAGUAAAGUCUUGUUUAUUUUGAAGUAUAAUUGAUUUAGAAUGGAAUAGAAUUGAUGAAGUGUAAUUAAUGAAUUAUGAUAUUAUGAUGCAAAGUCGUUGUUGUUGUCGUUGCCGCUGUUGUCAUCAAUGUCAUUAAAGUUGUAAGUUGUCUUUCCAAAGAAUUAGAGUCUUAAGUUGUUAAUGUUGUUUAAGUUGUUGAAGUCGUAGUUGAAGCUGUUGUUGGUGAUUGUUUAUGUUCAGGUGUUUUCUAAGAGGUAGUGUACUCUUACGUCGUUGUUUAUAAGAGGUGGUGUACUCUUAUGUCGUUGUUCUAUAAGAGGUGGUGUACUCUUACUUGUCGUUUUAUAAGAGGUGGUGUACUCUUACUUUAUCGUUUUUCUAAGAGGUGGUGUACUCUUACUUUGUUGUUGUCUAUAAGAGGUGGUGUACUCUUACUUUGUUUAUGUUGAUGAGUAUGACGAGGUUAUGAUGAUCUUAUAUAAUGUUGAAUGAGAGGUUGUUAUGAUAUUACAAGAGGUUACCUAAAAGUUGUUAAAUGUACUUGAUGAGGGUUAUGUUAAGUUGUCUUCUAUUCAUGAGCACUAAGGGGAUGUUAAGGAGAAUUAUUAUUGAGUGUAUAUGAUGAUGUCUAUGUUGUUAAUUGUAAUUGAUGAAUUUUAUGCUUAUUAUUAUUGUUUGAGAAAUCUCACCCCUUCUGCUUGGAAAUGUUGCCCUUCGUAUGGGUAACUUGCAGGUAUUUGAAGAUUAGUAGGAGUGGUGGCUCAAGUGUCUAGGGCUCUGAUACGUACGGGAUGAGAUUUUCUUAUUGUUUUUCAUUCCUAUGUAUCAAUUUUUAAAUAUUACUGAUGUAGCCCUAUGGUUGUUGAAUUUAUGUUGAUAAUGCUUUUAUGCCAAUAUUUAAUUAUGGAGAUUUAAAUAGUUGAUGUUGUUGUUUUGAUGCAAAUUUCCGCUGCAAAAUUAAUGAUGAUUUUGAAGGAUGCUUAUUAAAUAGAUUUUAUAUUCUAUU
RNAcentral lists this long non-coding RNA (1983 nucleotides) under Medicago truncatula (barrel medic). RNAcentral's name for it is "long non-coding RNA (MTRU_LNC002346)". The record is from RNAcentral. Lineage: Eukaryota; Viridiplantae; Streptophyta; Magnoliopsida; Fabales; Fabaceae.